This 305-nucleotide ribosomal RNA is filed under the name uncultured bacterium. RNAcentral describes it as "bacterial SSU rRNA". It matches the Rfam family "Bacterial small subunit ribosomal RNA", at positions 334 to 636 of the family's 1533-position model. The record is from RNAcentral.
UGGCCCUACGGGGGGCAGCAGUGAGGAAUAUUGGUCAAUGGGCGAGAGCCUGAACCAGCCAAGUCGCGUGAAGGAUGACGGCCCUAUGGGUUGUAAACUUCUUUUGUCAGGGAGCAAUUGAGUCCACGUGUGGGCUUAGCGAGAGUACCUGAAGAAAAAGCAUCGGCUAACUCCGUGCCAGCAGCCGCGGUAAUACGGAGGAUGCGAGCGUUAUCCGGAUUUAUUGGGUUUAAAGGGUGCGUAGGCGGGCUGUUAAGUCAGCGGUCAAAUGUCGGGGCUCAACCCCGGCCUGCCGUUGAAACUGG